CAGCGUUUGGAGAGAGGGAGAGUCCGUCACUCAGAGACAGAGCGAGAGCCGUGGAGUAGAUCUCGCGACCUGCCGCCCCCCGGCUGUGCUCGUCCUGGGGCUGGAGCAUCCUGCCGGCCGCCGGCGACCUCCUCGUCGGUGAGUACGUGCAGAAGCCCGGAGAGGCGCCUGCAGUUGCAGGGGCCAAAGGCUGGAUCUCGCAGAAUCGUGAGGUAUAAUUCGUUUCUUCCCGAUCUUGAUCCGGUUAACUUAGUUUGAUUAAAUUAGUUUCUUCGGCUAAACUCAUGGGGGUGUGCAUCUUCAGUGCAAAUUGCUGGUCAUACACCAUAGAUCUUCUACCGUUCUAGAUUGUUUAAUCCAGCUCGUGCAAACUGUUGGUUAUCCCCGAUAGAUUUACAAUGCUGAUUUGGUCGUAUAAGCCGCUCCUACGGCCUGGUCUAGUGAGUUCAUUUGUUGCCAGAUAACUGCCACACGCUUCUUUAUAUAUCAGAUGCAUCUUGAUUUGUUUGCGAACUAAACCGUCCCAAAAUUUCAUAUACAUAGGUCAGCGUGGGAUGGAAGUCACAACUGUGUGUGGACUUAAAACAAAUGCUAGUGCAGAAGAAUUGAAGAGGAUAUUGUUAUUUAGCCUUUACCAUCAUAAGUGCAAAUAAUUUGUGAUUCACUCUAGAUUUAAAUUGGUUGGUAUAUGAUGUUUUUUUUCAAGGGUCUGCUUAUUUUUUGCCUUGAUAAAUAUUAUUCAUUGUUGUCUUCUCUUGAUGAAUAAAUAGUAUACACAUUUUGACUUGCCUGCCAACUAAUUUGUUUCAAAAUCUUCACAUGCAUAGGUACUUGGGCAUGGGAUGGGAAUCACAAUUGUUGUGGAGGAAAUGAAGAAUAUCUUGUUAUUUGCCACCUACCAUCGAUGUUCUUUUAGAUUGAACAUUGCCAUGAGCUUUUCUCUACGCAAUGAAUAUAUUAGAUCAAGCAUCAUAUCAUGGACACCAUAAGACUUUUCUGCCUUUAUAGUGAUGUCUACAGAUUGGAUCCUGCUUCUGUUUAUGAGCUCAUUGAAGUAACUCUCCUAGCUCAAAUGGGUCAAUUUCACGUUUGCAUGAUACACAAAUCUUCAGCUAUCCAUCUCAACAUCUCCAUGUGGAUUGGUCUCGCUUAAUUUUAUAAUCUUCUGGAUAUAUGCUUACAUAUAAUAAUUGAUGUGAAGGUAGAUCAUAGAACAACAACAUAAUCUUUAGUCUUAAACAAAUUAUGGUAGACUAGAGAUAGAACACAAUAGGAACCACACACACACCAACGGUAUAGAAAGUAGCAAAGAAAUAGUAAAAGAAGUUCUUGACUUGUAGAUUAUCUCAAAGUGAUAAUGCAGAGUCAACCUUCUUUUACUACUAGUUUUGAUCUACCUUGUCAUCUGUAGGAUAAGUUAUUAUAUCUAAGCAUGUGUUUAGAAGAUUAGAAGAUUAAGCAAGGUCACUAGAUAUGUAAAUAGAUAGUUGAAUGAUUUGUUUAUCAUGAGAAGUAAGAGGUUAACCUAUUUGAGCUUGGUGAUAGAGUUAUUUGAUGAGAUCAUAAAUAGAAGCAUGAUUCAACUAAUAGACAUCAAUGUUGAUGAAGGCGUGGAAAAAUCUUAUCGUAUACAUGAUAUGAUGAUUGAUCCCAUAUGUUUUUACGAAGUGAAGAAAACUACUUCCAUGGCACUGAGUGAAAGCGAUCUAUCCAAAGGCAAGAUUUGAAGAUUAUCCAUCCGAAAGAGCAAGGCAUAUGUAACCACGAUCAACAGCAGCUCUCUUGUGAUAUCCAUGUGCUAUUGUCGAUUCGAUGUCGCUUAUGCUGAGCAUCCAUGUUCUACAUGGUUAAAUUUAGGUAUGUGACCAGCAUCAACAACUAUGAAAUUGUUGAUUCAGUGUCUCUUAUCGAACGGCAAGAUUUGAAGAUUAUCCAUCUGAAAGAGCAUAGCAGAUAUGACCGGCAGCAGCAGCAGCCGCAAGGUCACACGCGACGUGUGCUCUCUUGCAAUAUCCAUGUGCUAUUGUCGAUCCAGUGUCACUUAUGAUGACAGUUCAUGUUCUACAUGUGUUAGAUUUAGAAUAUUGUGUUGAAUGCUUCUGUUCUUGCCGAUUGAGAUGACGAGACUCAUGAACACUCCAUUUGCCCUGAUGUUUUGAUUUAUCUUCUGCAACGACAUGAAGCUCUCAUUGUAAUUGUACCCACUUCUGUCGGAUUCAAGAACCACCAAGUUUCUGUGGCGCCUCCUGCAUCUUGCUAAUAAUGAACUUUCUUCU
Molecule: long non-coding RNA, 2276 nt
Filed under: Triticum aestivum (bread wheat)
Lineage: Eukaryota; Viridiplantae; Streptophyta; Magnoliopsida; Poales; Poaceae
Description: long non-coding RNA (TAES_LNC026408)
Source: RNAcentral